ACUCAAAUGAAUAGACGGGGGCCCGCACAAGCAGCGGAGCGUGUGGUUUAAUUCGACGCGACGCGCAGAACCUUACCAGGGCUUGACAUGUGUCUUACAGCCGGUGAAAGCCGGUGUCCCGCGAGGGAGUGGCGCACAGGUGCUGCAUGGCUGUCGUCAGCUCGUGCCGUGAGGUGUUGGGUUAAGUCCCGCAACGAGCGCAACCCCCGCCGCUAGUUGGAUCAUCUAGCGGGACUGCCGGGACCAACCCGGAGGAAGGUGGGGAUGACGUCAAGUCAGCACGGCCCUUACGCCCUGGGCUACACACACGCUACAAUGGGGGGGACAACGGGACGCCAAGCCGCGAGGCGGAGCCAAUCCUUCAAACCCUCCCUCAGUUCAGAUCGGGGGCUGCAACUCGCCCCCGUGAAGGCGGAGUUGCUAGUAACCGUGGGUCAGCACACCGCGGUGAAUACGUUCCCGGGCCUUGCACACACCGCCCGU
RNAcentral lists this ribosomal RNA (483 nucleotides) under uncultured bacterium. Its description in RNAcentral is "partial 16S ribosomal RNA". It matches the Rfam family "Bacterial small subunit ribosomal RNA", at positions 899 to 1397 of the family's 1533-position model. The record is from RNAcentral.